GAUGAACGCUGGCGGCGUGCUUAACACAUGCAAGUCGAACGGAAAGGCUCCUGCUUGCCGGGGUACUCGAGUGGCGAACGGGUGAGUAACACGUGGGUGAUCUGCCCUUCACUUCGGGAUAAGCCUGGGAAACUGGGUCUAAUACCGGAUAGGACGAUGGUUUGGAUGCCAUUGUGGAAAGUUUUUCGGUGUGGGAUGCGCUUGCGGCCUAUCAGCUUGUUGGUGGGGUAAUCGCCUACCAAGGCGUCGACCGGUAGCCGGCCUGAGAGGGUGUACGGCCACAUUGGGACUGAGAUACGGCCCAGACUCCUACGGGAGGCAGCAGUGGGGAAUAUUGCACAAUGGGCGCAAGCCUGAUGCAGCGACGCCGCGUGGGGGAUGACGGCCUUCGGGGUGUAAACUCCUUUCGCUAGGGACGAAGCGCAAGUGACGGUACCUGGAGAAGAAGCACCGGCUAACUACGUG
Molecule: ribosomal RNA, 465 nt
Filed under: uncultured bacterium
Lineage: Bacteria
Description: partial 16S ribosomal RNA
Rfam family: Bacterial small subunit ribosomal RNA
Source: RNAcentral